This 504-nucleotide ribosomal RNA is filed under the name uncultured bacterium. RNAcentral's name for it is "partial 16S ribosomal RNA". It matches the Rfam family "Bacterial small subunit ribosomal RNA", at positions 28 to 523 of the family's 1533-position model. The record is from RNAcentral.
GAUGAACGCUAGCUACAGGCUUAACACAUGCAAGUCGAGGGGCAGCAUAAAUCUAGCAAUAGAUUUGAUGGCGACCGGCGCACGGGUGAGUAACACGUAUCCAACCUACCUAUUACUCGGGUAUAGCCUUUCGAAAGAAAGAUUAAUCCCCGAUACGAUAUUGAGUUCGCAUGAAUUUGAUAUGAAAGAUUUAUUGGUAUUAGAUGGGGAUGCGUUCCAUUAGAUUGUUGGUGAGGUAACGGCUCACCAAGUCUUCGAUGGAGAGGGGUUCUGGAGGGAAGGUCCCACACACUGGACGUGAGACACGGUCCAGACUCCUACGGGAGGAAGCAGUGAGGAAUAUUGGUCAAUGGGCGAGAGCCUGACCCAGCCAAGUAGCGUGAGGGAUGACUGCCCUAUGGGUUGUAAACCUCUUUUAUAAGGGAAUAAAACGCUCCACGAGUGGGGCUUUGCAUGUACCUUUUGAAUAAGGAUCGGCUAACUCCGUGCCAGCCGCCGCCGUAA